RNAcentral lists this unclassified non-coding RNA (236 nucleotides) under Hevea brasiliensis (rubber tree). Lineage: Eukaryota; Viridiplantae; Streptophyta; Magnoliopsida; Malpighiales; Euphorbiaceae. The record is from RNAcentral.
AUUUCAAUAAAAAGAAGGGCGAAGCGCCUUUAUUAGCAGAAUCAUGGUCCAUAUGUUUAUUCAAUUCCAAACUUCUGCCUUAGCACUUUUACAAAUUCACAGACCUUAUGUUGAUCAGGCAAAGACUUAGCCACACUGUCCCUCAGCAUACAAUUCUUGGCCCAAGCCACAAACUUUGGGCACUCAGCCUCUACACUGAUGUUAGCAUAACUCUCAUAAGCAUAAAACCAGCUAUA